UGUUCUAUGGCCGAACUGGUAAAGGCAUUGCCGAUCACAGACAAGGUUGCGGGUUCGAGUCCCGCUGGAACGG
Transfer RNA from Operophtera brumata (winter moth), 73 nucleotides. It matches the Rfam family "tRNA". Rfam says of the family: Transfer RNA (tRNA) molecules are approximately 80 nucleotides in length. Their secondary structure includes four short double-helical elements and three loops (D, anti-codon, and T loops). NCBI's taxonomy places the organism in Eukaryota, Metazoa, Arthropoda, Insecta, Lepidoptera, Geometridae. The record is from Rfam.